UACAGAGGUCUCAAGCGUUGUUCGGAUUCAUUGGGCGUAAAGGGUGCGUAGGUGGCCAACUAAGUCAGACGUGAAAUCCCUCGGCUUAACCGGGGAACUGCGUCUGAUACUGGAUGGCUUGAGUUCGGGAGAGGGAUGCGGAAUUCCAGGUGUAGCGGUGAAAUGCGUAGAUAUCUGGAGGAACACCGGUGGCGAAGGCGGCAUCCUGGACCGGCAUUGACGCUGAGGCGCGAAAGCCAGGGGAGCAAACGGG
This 253-nucleotide ribosomal RNA is filed under the name uncultured bacterium. RNAcentral's name for it is "partial 16S ribosomal RNA". It matches the Rfam family "Bacterial small subunit ribosomal RNA", at positions 524 to 776 of the family's 1533-position model. The record is from RNAcentral.